Molecule: ribosomal RNA, 406 nt
Filed under: uncultured bacterium
Lineage: Bacteria
Description: bacterial SSU rRNA
Rfam family: Bacterial small subunit ribosomal RNA
Source: RNAcentral
UGGUCUUGACAUCCUGCGAACUUUCUAGAAAUAGAUUGGUGCCUUCGGGAACGCAGUGACAGGUGCUGCAUGGCUGUCGUCAGCUCGUGUCGUGAGAUGUUGGGUUAAGUCCCGUAACGAGCGCAACCCCUAUCCUUAUUUGCCAGCACAUUAUGGUGGGAACUAUAAGGAGACUGCCGGUGAUAAACCGGAGGAAGGCGGGGACGACGUCAAGUCAUCAUGGCCCUUACGACCAGGGCUACACACGUGCUACAAUGGGAAGUACAAAGAGUCGCGAAGCCGCGAGGUGUAGCUAAUCUCACAAAUCUUCUCGUAGUCCGGAUUGGAGUCUGCAACUCGACUCCAUGAAGUCGGAAUCGCUAGUAAUCGUAGAUCAGAAUGCUACGGUGAAUACGUUCCCGGGUCU